This 76-nucleotide transfer RNA is filed under the name Candidatus Moranbacteria bacterium CG_4_8_14_3_um_filter_34_16. RNAcentral's name for it is "tRNA-Thr". It matches the Rfam family "tRNA". From Rfam's summary of the family: Transfer RNA (tRNA) molecules are approximately 80 nucleotides in length. RNAcentral also lists the same sequence under 2 other names. Lineage: Bacteria; Candidatus Moraniibacteriota. The record is from RNAcentral.
GCCCUCUUAGCUCAGUUGGUAGAGCAACGCAUUCGUAACGCGUAGGUCGUCGGUUCAACUCCGACAGAGGGCUCCA